RNAcentral lists this ribosomal RNA (468 nucleotides) under uncultured bacterium. RNAcentral's name for it is "partial 16S ribosomal RNA". It matches the Rfam family "Bacterial small subunit ribosomal RNA", at positions 28 to 507 of the family's 1533-position model. The record is from RNAcentral.
GACGAACGCUGGCGGCGUGCUUAACACAUGCAAGUCGAACGGAAAGGCCCUGCUUUUGUGGGGUGCUCGAUUGGCGAACGGGUGAGUAACACGUGAGUAACCUGCCCUUGACUUUGGGGUAACUUCAGGAAACUGGGGCUAAUACCGGAUAUGAGCUUCUGAUGCAUGGGGGGGGUUGGAAAGUUGCGGCGGUUGGGGAUGGACUCGCGGCUUAUGAGCUUGUUGGGGGGGUUGUGGAUUACCAAGGCUUUGAAGGGUAGCCGGCCUGAGAGGGUGACCGGCCACAUUGGUACUGAGAUACGGCCCAGACGCCUACGGGAGGCAGCAGUGGGGAAUAUUGCACAAUGGGCGGAAGCCUGAUGCAGCAACGCCGCGUGCGGGAUGACGGCCUUCGGGUUGUAAACCGCUUUCGCCUGUGACGAAGCGUGAGUGACGGUAAUGGGUAAAGAAGCACCGGCUAACUACGUG